GAUGAACGCUGGCGGCGUGCCUAAUACAUGCAAGUCGAGCGAACAGACGAGGAGCUUGCUCCUCUGACGUUAGCGGCGGACGGGUGAGUAACACGUGGAUAACCUACCUAUAAGACUGGGAUAACUUCGGGAAACCGGAGCUAAUACCGGAUAAUAUAUUGAACCGCAUGGUUCAAUAGUGAAAGACGGUUUUGCUGUCACUUAUAGAUGGAUCCGCGCUGCAUUAGCUAGUUGGUAAGGUAACGGCUUACCAAGGCGACGAUGCGUAGCCGACCUGAGAGGGUGAUCGGCCACACUGGAACUGAGACACGGUCCAGACUCCUACGGGAGGCAGCAGUAGGGAAUCUUCCGCAAUGGGCGAAAGCCUGACGGAGCAACGCCGCGUGAGUGAUGAAGGCCUUCGGAUCGUAAAGCUCUGUAAUUAGGGAAGAACAGAUGUGUAAGUAAAUGUGCACGUCUUGACGGUACCUAAUCAGAAAGCCCCGGCUAACUACGUG
Molecule: ribosomal RNA, 497 nt
Filed under: uncultured bacterium
Lineage: Bacteria
Description: partial 16S ribosomal RNA
Rfam family: Bacterial small subunit ribosomal RNA
Source: RNAcentral